This 292-nucleotide ribosomal RNA is filed under the name uncultured bacterium. Its description in RNAcentral is "partial 16S ribosomal RNA". It matches the Rfam family "Bacterial small subunit ribosomal RNA", at positions 505 to 796 of the family's 1533-position model. The record is from RNAcentral.
GUGCCAGCCGCCGCGGUAAUACGGAGGUGGCGAGCGUUGUUCGGAAUUAUUGGGCUUAAAGCGCGUGUAGGCGGGACGGCAAGUGUCGGGUGAAAGCCCUCGGCUCAACCGAGGAAUGGCCUGGCAGACUGCCGUUCUUGAGGCAGGCAGAGGUGACUAGAACGACGGGUGGAGCGGUGAAAUGCGUAGAUAUCCGUUGGAAUGCCGGCGGCGAAAGCAGGUCACUGGGCCUGUCCUGACGCUGAGACGCGAAAGCGUGGGGAGCAAACAGGAUUAGAUACCCCUGUAGUCC